Molecule: non-coding RNA, 29 nt
Filed under: Rattus norvegicus (Norway rat)
Lineage: Eukaryota; Metazoa; Chordata; Mammalia; Rodentia; Muridae
Source: RNAcentral
UUUUUUCUCUUUUUCUAAACUGUGGUAUC